Molecule: ribosomal RNA, 1091 nt
Filed under: Salmonella enterica subsp. enterica serovar Typhimurium
Lineage: Bacteria; Pseudomonadati; Pseudomonadota; Gammaproteobacteria; Enterobacterales; Enterobacteriaceae
Description: partial 23S ribosomal RNA
Rfam family: Bacterial large subunit ribosomal RNA
Source: RNAcentral
AACGGAGCGAAAGCGACGUUCAACCGCAAAACAAGCAGAGGGGGCUUAGUGGUGGGGUGACUGCGUACCUUUUGUAUAAUGGGUCAGCGACUUAUAUUCUGUAGCAAGGUUAACCGAAUAGGGGAGCCGGAGGGAAACCGAGUCUUAAUUGGGCGUUAAGUUGCAGGGUAUAGACCCGAAACCCGGUGAUCUAGCCAUGGGCAGGUUGAAGGUUGGGUAACACUAACUGGAGGACCGAACCGACUAAUGUUGAAAAAUUAGCGGAUGACCUGUGGCUGGGGGUGAAAGGCCAAUCAAACCGGGAGAUAGCUGGUUCUCCCCGAAAGCUAUUUAGGUAGCGCCUCGUGAAUUCAUCUCCGGGGGUAGAGCACUGUUUCGGCUAGGGGGCCAUCCCGGCUUACCAACCCGAUGCAAACUGCGAAUACCGGAGAAUGUUAUCACGGGAGACACACGGCGGGUGCUAACGUCCGUCGUGAAGAGGGAAACAACCCAGACCGCCAGCUAAGGUCCCAAAGUCAUGGUUAAGUGGGAAACGAUGUGGGAAGGCCCAGACAGCCAGGAUGUUGGCUUAGAAGCAGCCAUCAUUUAAAGAAAGCGUAAUAGCUCACUGGUCGAGUCGGCCUGCGCGGAAGAUGUAACGGGGCUAAACCAUGCACCGAAGCUGCGGCAGCGAACGUAUCACCCAAGACAACUUUACGGAGUUGACGAUUGACGGAGCGAAGCGACGUCAAAGCGUUCAUUAAAGUCGAGUUGGCUUAGGGAUACGUUCGUUGGGUAGGGGAGCGUUCUGUAAGCCUGUGAAGGUGUGUCGUGAGGCAUGCUGGAGGUAUCAGAAGUGCGAAUGCUGACAUAAGUAACGAUAAAGCGGGUGAAAAGCCCGCUCGCCGGAAGACCAAGGGUUCCUGUCCAACGUUAAUCGGGGCAGGGUGAGUCGACCCCUAAGGCGAGGCCGAAAGGCGUAGUCGAUGGGAAACGGGUUAAUAUUCCCGUACUUGGUGUUACUGCGAAGGGGGGACGGAGAAGGCUAUGUUGGCCGGGCGACGGUUGUCCCGGUUUAAGCGUGUAGGUGUGUGUUCCAGGUAAAUCCGGUU